UCCGGUGGCGAUAGCGAGGAGGCCACACCCGUUCCCAUCCCGAACACGGUCGUUAAGCUCCUCAGCGCCAAUGGUACUGCGCGGGCAAUUGCGUGGGAGAGUAGGUCGCCGCCGGAU
Molecule: ribosomal RNA, 117 nt
Filed under: Syntrophobacteraceae bacterium
Lineage: Bacteria; Pseudomonadati; Thermodesulfobacteriota; Syntrophobacteria; Syntrophobacterales; Syntrophobacteraceae
Source: RNAcentral